Molecule: long non-coding RNA, 1346 nt
Organism: Ruditapes philippinarum (Manila clam)
Lineage: Eukaryota; Metazoa; Mollusca; Bivalvia; Venerida; Veneridae
Exons: 3
Source: RefSeq, a predicted model, not a curated record
AAUGAGCCAGUCCUUUUUGCUGAUGAAAUAUUGUGUGUUGUAAUUUUAGGUCAGCCAACAUACAUUUAAGAUCUUAAACUUAGUUCAUUAAAGUUUUGACGUAGAUAAUACCGAGCAUGUUAUAGCCAUAUUCUUCAAGACCACAAGGGAAUGUACUUAACACAUAGAUGUUUCAUCUAUUUGCUGAUGAAAAUACUAAACUUUUGUUUGAAAUGACGGUACAAUGUGUGACAUCUAUGUCCUAUUGAGCACCAGGGGUAUGGAGUAAAAAAGACAAUCACUAUGUAUAAACUAUGUAGUAUUGGUCAAGAUAAAAAACACUUCAAUUGGGAUGGCAUGUGAGAAGUCAGUGAUUCAUCUACCAAAAGUGAAUUACAUUCUCAUAGAGUUUAUGUCUUCAGAAGUACCCUUGAAAAAGCUGAAUACUGCAGUGGCAGAUGUUACAGUAUUUUUACUAAAUUGUGAAACAAGUUUUCGCAAGUUGGUUGUUGUUCCCUGUUUGGGUCAAACCCUCAACCUGGGGUUGCAAGACUACAUUCAAGGACAUAAGUGAGCUGUCAUUUGUGACUUCCCAUGUGUUUGCAAGAAUCUGUUAUUGUAACUGUUUCCAAUUAUUGACAUUAUUUUAAUUUAAAAAUAUACUAAUAUGUAAUUCAUGUUAUACAAUUAAAAAUACAGUGAUCAGAAUAUGGUUACACUGUCAAAAUCUGUAACUGUAUAUAUAGUCAGGAAAAUAACUAGUGCAAGCUCUUUCUAUUUUUGGUUAAAUUUCUGAAAUACUUUUGAAGUUACUGUCACAGUGAAUAAAAUUAUUUGAUAUGGAAUAUUUUUUAUAAAAUGCCGUUAUUUUAACUCAUUCAGCUUUUUUGUAUAUUUUUGUUACCAUGGCAACCAAAAUACACAAUUUUUGUAAUCAGUGCAUUACAGAAUAUUUGUUUUGCAUUGGAUUUAUGUACUAACAUGUUACAGCUAUGCGUUUUAAAGUGGACUAACUUAAGUUAUGAAAUUACGUUCAUUGAACGCCGCCUUUCCUUGUUGAUCUUGUUAUAUUUUAAUCAUGGAAAAGUUACUGAAAUUCUGAGAGUUUAAAUCUUAUGUUUAUAUUUUUUAUCAAUAACAAUUUAAGUGAAAAAUGAAAAAUUCUUUUUUUUUCUGAAAAGUCUUAAAUAUUGUUGUCUUUUUAUAUAAAUAUGGAUUAAUUUGGUGAUGAGUUAAUCAAUGUAAGUGCAUAAAUAUUGCAUUUGACGAUUUUUUUUAUUUGUGUUGCCAUGGUAACCGAUUUUUGAAAACAAAUGAUAGCUUUUAUAUCAAGUUAUUACAUAUAUUACACCAAGAUGAAUGAUAAC